This 449-nucleotide ribosomal RNA is filed under the name uncultured bacterium. RNAcentral describes it as "partial 16S ribosomal RNA". It matches the Rfam family "Bacterial small subunit ribosomal RNA", at positions 29 to 523 of the family's 1533-position model. The record is from RNAcentral.
AGCGAACGCUGGCGGCAGGCCUAACACAUGCAAGUCGAACGAACUCUUCGGAGUUAGUGGCGGACGGGUGAAUAACACGUGGGAACGUGCCUUUAGGUUCGGAAUAACUCAGGGAAACUUGUGCUAAUACCGAAUGUGCCCUUCGGGGGAAAGAUUUAUCGCCUUUAGAGCGGCCCGCGUCUGAUUAGCUAGUUGGUGAGGUAAUGGCUCACCAAGGCGACGAUCAGUAGCUGGUCUGAGAGGAUGAUCAGCCACAUUGGGACUGAGACACGGCCCAAACUCCUACGGGAGGCAGCAGUGGGGAAUCUUGCGCAAUGGGCGAAAGCCUGACGCAGCCAUGCCGCGUGAAUGAUGAAGGUCUUAGGAUUGUAAAAUUCUUUCACCGGGGACGAUAAUGACGGUACCCGGAGAAGAAGCCCCGGCUAACUUCGUGCCAGCCGCCGCGGUAA